UCACGACUCUCGGCGGCGGAUAUCUCGGCUCUUGCAUCGAUGAAGAACGUAGCGAAAUGCGAUACCUGGUGUGAAUUGCAGAAUCCCGCGAACCAUCGAGUCUUUGAACGCAAGUUGCGCCCGAGGCCACCCGGCCGAGGGCGCGCCUGCCUGGGCGUCACGC
RNAcentral lists this ribosomal RNA (163 nucleotides) under Dendrocalamus membranaceus. Its description in RNAcentral is "5.8S ribosomal RNA". It matches the Rfam family "5.8S ribosomal RNA". Rfam says of the family: 5.8S ribosomal RNA (5.8S rRNA) is a component of the large subunit of the eukaryotic ribosome. Lineage: Eukaryota; Viridiplantae; Streptophyta; Magnoliopsida; Poales; Poaceae. The record is from RNAcentral.